RNAcentral lists this ribosomal RNA (820 nucleotides) under uncultured Eubacterium sp. Its description in RNAcentral is "bacterial SSU rRNA". It matches the Rfam family "Bacterial small subunit ribosomal RNA", at positions 38 to 875 of the family's 1533-position model. Lineage: Bacteria; Bacillati; Bacillota; Clostridia; Eubacteriales; Eubacteriaceae. The record is from RNAcentral.
AAUGCGGGGUGCUACCAUGCAAGUCGAGCGGGGAGGCCCUUCGGGGUCUUCUAGCGGCGGACGGGUGAGUAACGCGUGAGCAACCUUUCCUUCACAGGGGGAUAACGCAGCGAAAGCUGUGCUAAUACCGCAUGAGACUACAGAGCUACAUGGCUUAGGAGUCAAAGGAGCAAUCCGGUGAAGGGUGGGCUCGCGUCUGAUUAGCUAGUUGGUGAGGUAACGGCUCACCAAGGCGACGAUCAGUAGCCGACCUGAGAGGGUGAUCGGCCACACUGGGACUGAGACACGGCCCAGACUCCUACGGGAGGCAGCAGUGGGGAAUAUUGGGCAAUGGGGGAAACCCUGACCCAGCAACGCCGCGUGAGGGAAGAAGGUUUUCGGAUUGUAAACCUCUGUCCUUGGUGAAGAGAAGAAGACGGUAGCCAAGGAGGAAGCCCCGGCUAACUACGUGCCAGCAGCCGCGGUAAUACGUAGGGGGCGAGCGUUGUCCGGAAUGAUUGGGCGUAAAGGGCGCGUAGGCGGCCUGUUAAGUCUGGAGUGAAAGUCCCGCUUUUAAGGUGGGAAUUGCUUUGGAAACUGGCGGGCUUGAGUGCAGGAGAGGUUAGUGGAAUUCCCGGUGUAGCGGUGAAAUGCGUAGAGAUCGGGAGGAACACCAGUGGCGAAGGCGACUAACUGGACUGUAACUGACGCUGAGGCGCGAAAGUGUGGGGAGCAAACAGGAUUAGAUACCCUGGUAGUCCACACGGUAAACGAUGAAUGCUAGGUGUAGGGGGUAUCGACCCCUUCUGUGCCGGAGUAAACACAAUAAGCAUUCCGCCUG